Long non-coding RNA from Oncorhynchus nerka (sockeye salmon), 1446 nucleotides. RefSeq lists it as uncharacterized. The record is from RefSeq and is a predicted model, not a curated record. The transcript is spliced from 4 exons. Lineage: Eukaryota; Metazoa; Chordata; Actinopteri; Salmoniformes; Salmonidae.
AUGCAUAGUCGAGCAUCUUUUUGUGACAAAAUAUUGCGCUUAAAACGGGCACGUCUUUUUAUCCAAUAAUGACAUAGUGCCCCCAUAGGUUGAAGAGGUUAACUGUCCUAACAUCUACUGUCUAUCCACAGGUUAACUGUCCUAACAUCUACUGUCUAUCCACAGGUUACUUUGACACUAACUGUUGUUUUGACACCACUAUAAAACACAAUAUCUAUAAGAGAUGGAAAUGAUCAUGAAUAUCUAUUACAGUAACAGGGGCGGAGCCAGAGGGGUGUCUGGGGUAUCUGCUCCUAAUACUGGACCAGGAGACCAGCAAACAGAUGUAUCAAGGGAUGACAUAAAGACCUCUGGCUCUGAGCAAGACAGUGAGCCAGAGCUGCCAGGAGAUGUCAUGGAGAUCCUCCCUACUGCAUCAAGCACCAGAUAUGCAGUUCCAAAAGGACCCAAUGACAUUUCAAGAUCCAGAGAAGAGGGUCCUAUACAGCCGUGUUUGAAAACAUUUCCCAGAAUGCAGCAUGGUACUAGGAAAAGUGCUUUCAACAGUUCCUGGUAUAAGGACAAUUUAUGGCUUGAAUUAUCUGUAUGUUUUGAUGUGAGAGAGGAAGCCCGUCCCGUUAUCGCCACCUCACCCGCUCUUAAGAUAACCUUCGGGCCGACUGGGAGCCCAAGGCUGGUUAGGAGACACUGCAAUUGUGAUGAACUGAGACAAUAUUAGGGUAGCACUGUAAUUCAUGAAUCAUAUGUUGCCUGCGAGGUUCUUCCCUCUUUCCCUUUCUGUCUUCUACACCACUUUCCCCACCUCGUCUUUCUUCCUCGUUUUAUAAUGCACACCACAUGUGCAUUGAAGUACAGAUUGAACUUGUAUUUAUAAUAUUACAAUUAUCAUAAUUAUAAUGCAUUUAUAACACCUGGAUAAUGAACUUCUUUAAAUAAAGUGUUUCACAUUCUCCACUGGUUGAAAUGAAGUAUCUCACUGAAAUACUAUCCUGUGUCCUCAGAUUAAUAAAGAUGAAGGGAGUUAGAUAUGCAUAGUUUUUCUUCUUCUGUAUAUAUGAAUUACAAAUCAAUCAUGUUUCUAAUCUAUUGCAUAGUUACAAUGUAUAAUCAUUGAUGUCCCAGGAGCAGGAGUGGUCAACACUGUUGAAGUGUAUAAUUGUAAUACAUACAUGCAGACACAGCAUCAUUCAAAGAAUGGAGUUUGAUAUGACUGAAAAUGAAUGUCUCAGAGAUUCAUACCUGAACCACACCUUUAUUUGUCAAGGAAGAGUACAUGAUCAGUGAAUAUAUUCAACGUACAGGCUACAAUGUGGGGAUCUAAUGCGUGCUAAUAACUACACUACAUGUGUAUGUAGUACUUGCAUCCUUGGCACAAUAAAGUUAUUAUAAUCUACUCAAUCCAUAGGCUUCAUUAAUGCCAUUCAGAUUUGAAGUUGAUACAACAAC